Melitaea cinxia (Glanville fritillary) is the source of this 238-nucleotide long non-coding RNA. RefSeq lists it as uncharacterized. The transcript is spliced from 2 exons. The record is from RefSeq and is a predicted model, not a curated record. Lineage: Eukaryota; Metazoa; Arthropoda; Insecta; Lepidoptera; Nymphalidae.
UGUAACUUAAGUAAAGUAAUAUUGAGUGCAAUUUUUUUGAAACUUUUCUGGAUUGAUAAAGUUUUGACAUGUGUUCUAGAUUUUUUUAAUUAACGAAUAGACGUGACUUUCUUCGUUCUCCGGUACCUUGAAACGGCUACAGAUUUUAUAUACAUUUAUGUACUUGAAUUGAUCAUUUUUUUUGCCACUGGAGUAUACUUAAAGAUGUUACAUUGAAUAAAUAUUUUGCGUUCUUAAA